AAUCAACGCUGGCGGCGUGCCUAACACAUGCAAGUCGCACGAGAAAGUGGAGCAAUCCAUGAGUACAGUGGCGCACGGGUGAGUAACACGUGAAUCAUCUACCUUCGAGUGGGGAAUAACUGGGAGAAAUCUCAGCUAAUACCGCAUAAUACCUACGGGUCAAAGUAGCAAUGCGCUUGAAGAGGAGUUCGCGGCAGAUUAGUUAGUUGGCGGGGUAAUGGCCCACCAAGACGAUGAUCUGUAUCCGGCCUGAGAGGGCGCACGGACACACUGGAACUGAAACACGGUCCAGACUCCUACGGGAGGCAGCAGUGGGGAAUUUUGCGCAAUGGGGGAAACCCUGACGCAGCAACGCCGCGUGGAGGAUGAAAUCCCUUGGGAUGUAAACUCCUUUCGAUGGGGAAGAUAA
This 409-nucleotide ribosomal RNA is filed under the name bacterium Ellin7514. RNAcentral's name for it is "bacterial SSU rRNA". It matches the Rfam family "Bacterial small subunit ribosomal RNA", at positions 32 to 451 of the family's 1533-position model. The record is from RNAcentral.